UUUCAUUCUUUUUUUUUUUUUUAAUCCCAUUUUGCAGCUGUAGAAUGAUUUUCAAGUCCAUCUAUUUCAAGUGAAAUAUGUUCAAGUUAUUCUGCCUUCACACCCACUCCCUCAUGUUGGUGAAUUUUGACUUCCAUGUUGGUGGUACCAUCAUCUGUAAUGGUAUCUAGAAAGAGCCAAAUGAAGAUGGGUGAAACAGCUGCAGUCAUUAUUACAAAUCUUGUUGACUUGUGGGUUGACCAUCAGAGUUAUAUAAAGAAAAAAUAACUGGAAGAUUUAGAGAAGUCUCUGGCAUUGCAUGCAUGUUUCUAGUAAGUAGUACUAAAUUUCUCUGACUCUUCCCAAAUUCUGCAACUAACUUGUGUUGUUCAGCAUGUCAUAUGAUUCUCACUGGUUCACUGUCUGUUAACUUACUAUAGUAACAAAGUACUAAAUGGGGGUUCUUAAAAAAAGAGGGAACAGGACUUUUAACGUGGGCAGAUAGGACAAGGGAGAACAGUUUCAAACUAAAACAUGGGUGUUGUGAAAAUUUCAAUUGAAGUACAUGUGCAGAAUACAAAAAUACCAAAGGAUUUUAGAAUCAUAAUUAAUUUACAGUGAAUGUCUUUCAAUUGAUAACAUACAUUAUAUUUAAUAUUUUGAGACUGAAUUUACUGGUGCAUUAAAUAGGUCAAAACUUUAAUCAUAAGUCAUAGCAAAAUACACGUUUGUUGCUUUAAAGUAGUUCAGUGGAAUUAGUGAAAGCAGCCUAGAUCCCCUCAUAAGCUAUCUGAAGCUAAGCCAAAAAUAGUGGAUGUUAAUUCCAUUUCUAUCCUAAUCCUUUCUCUGCUUGUCUAACAAUUUUCUAUAUAUUCAUAGCAGAAUAUCUGCCUCAAAAAUUCAUACUUUCCUGUUUGUGUACUCAGGUGUGAAUUUCCUUUGAAAUUUCAAAUCAAAAUCUUUCAGACAGACUCAGAACUUAAAGUAGAUAUUUUGGAGUAAAUUCCUUUCCUAUAAACUAUAUUUUUACAUUUUAAAAAUGAAAGUUAAGCCAAGCAGUCUGCUCUGCCCAGCAUGCACAAAGAAAGUUGUUUUGGGUGCCUAUGUACCCAAAAUCAGUGUGCUUCUAUCCAUGUUUCAUGAGGGUAAUCCAUUCCUGAUUAGCUGAUUCACAAAAUAAAAGGGUGUUGCAUGC
This 1174-nucleotide long non-coding RNA is filed under the name Parus major (Great Tit). Its description in RNAcentral is "lncRNA (ENSPMJG00000015448.1)". The record is from RNAcentral. Lineage: Eukaryota; Metazoa; Chordata; Aves; Passeriformes; Paridae.